UUAAGUGGAGAGUUUGAUCCUGGCUCAGAGCGAACGCUAGCGGCGCGCCUAACACAUGCAAGUCGAGCGAGAAAGAGGGGGCAACUCCUUGAGUAAAGCGGCGAACGGGUGAGUAAUGCAUGGGUAAUCUACCUAUAAGACUGGGAUAACCUUCCGAAAGGAGGGCUAAUACCGGAUAAGACCACAUGACUUUUGUUGUGGGGUUAAAGAUGGGGAUUCGCAAGAACCUAUCAUUUAUGGAUGAGCCCAUGUCCCAUCAGCUUGUUGGUAGGGUAAUGGCCUACCAAGGCUAAGACGGGUAGCUGGUCUGAGAGGACGAUCAGCCACACUGGCACUGAAACA
This 342-nucleotide ribosomal RNA is filed under the name Deltaproteobacteria bacterium RIFCSPLOWO2_02_FULL_42_39. Its description in RNAcentral is "bacterial SSU rRNA". It matches the Rfam family "Bacterial small subunit ribosomal RNA", at positions 1 to 326 of the family's 1533-position model. Lineage: Bacteria; Deltaproteobacteria. The record is from RNAcentral.